This is a long non-coding RNA of Homo sapiens (human), 3401 nucleotides long. RefSeq lists it as uncharacterized. Lineage: Eukaryota; Metazoa; Chordata; Mammalia; Primates; Hominidae. The transcript is spliced from 5 exons. The record is from RefSeq and is a predicted model, not a curated record.
GAUCAAGCCACCACAUUGCUGUAACCAUGCACUUCCUGGUAUCUAUGUCUUUGCUUGUCACAGUGCCCCUCCCAGAAGACAUAUUCUCUUAGGGCAAGGAAGAUAUUUCAUUCUCUCCCCCCAGCAAAACAAAGCAUUUUGUUUUCCACGUUCCAUAAGCUUAAUAAUUAUUUGUGAAUUGAAUGAAAAGAAAAAACAUAAUACAACUACUCACCUGUUUUGGGGGGCUUUUUUUGUUUUUAACGGAGUGCCUUCCAAGAGCUGAGGAUUGGAUUUAUUAAUUCUGAUUUUUUACUGGAUAUCAAUUUGAAAAUCAAAGGCUGUCCCCAUGCCUCAGUUUCCUCAUCUGUGACCACAGGUCAAGAAUAAUUCUUCCUAACCUACUUUACCAGGCUACUUAUUUUCACCUAAAAGGUGGCAAUAUUAUGCUUGUUUUGUUUUGUAUUGUGUUCUACUUUUAAGCAGGCUAAAUAAACAGAGACCUGGAGGAUUCUGUUUGGAAGAGAAAGACGAUGGGCCCCUUACUUGGAGUUCAUUGCCAACCCACAGAAGAGAGACGGGUUCUCUCACCAACCAGAAAAGAAACAGCUGUGGUGACAGAUGUUGGUGGUGCUGAUUAUUCCAGGGCUGUUUGCAUUCAGAUUUCCCAGGCAUUCUCGGUUUUCUGAAGUCAAUCUCUUUUGAUGGGUUUUCCCAGGUCUUGGGGGUGAAAACAAACCGCUCCUCUUGCCGCACGCAUUUCAUUUAUUUCCUCUCUCUACUCCAGAAACACACAGAUAAAGGACACCCACCCAGCACACGCACUCCCCACACCCACGUGGCCUCACGUUUCGUUUUGAACAUAAAUGGCCUGGGGGAGAGAAACCUUUUCACUCCUCCUUAGGUUGCUUUUUGGUUUUGUAGGUAUGUGUGUUGGAGAGGUGGGGGGAGAGGUCUGGCCAAAGUACAUCCAAGGCCAGUUUCUCCAAAAGAUGUGGAAACUUCUGAUCUCACCCAGGGACUUCAACAGAAUACCAAAAAGGGGUGUCUUUGUUUCCUCCAAAUGGAGUAUUUACUUUGAGCUGGUAAAAUGAAUUAAUGAAAAGAAAGGACACCUUCAGCUUCUGGGGAAGGAGUGAUAAGUAAAAUCAGAGGAGGGGAUUCCUUCUUACCCUGACUCCCCAAAAUCAAGGGGAGGAUGGAGGAUGGUGAGAGAGGGAGGAUCCCACAGGGUAUUCAAAAAUAGACCCUGCUAGAAAACAGGCUGCUCUUUUCUGGGAUUAAAAGUUGCCUCAAUACUGUAAGGCCCAUGUAUAUGCAAGCAGUUGGGAGUUAUUACGGGCCUAAAAUAGGAAACCAUUCGCUUGAUCUUUCGCUUCAAUCCUAUUAGGGGCCCCCUGGAGCUCGAGAGAGAUACCAGCCUGUCAUGUCCCUGUUGCUGUGACGACCCUGUCUUUAUAGAACAAGAAAGAGAAAUGGUAGUGAUUGGCAGACCUUGCUUGCCCCGUAUGUAACACAAAGGGCGACAAAACGAAGAGGAAGUGAGGCCCUUCUCCGAGGUCUGACGCUUCUUAACCCUACACUACCUUCCACCUGGUCCCAGUCGCCCCCACCCCGACCUCCUCCAGAGGGAAAGGAGAGACCACUGGCCGUUAAGUGCUAAUACCCAAAGAUCACGAAUGACUUUUUUGGGUCUAAUUGCGAGUAAUUUUUAAAGUCCGUCUUUGAUCGACUUGGACGGGAGAAAAUAUACGGGAGGGGCUGGAAGCGAAGAUGGGGGCUGCUCAGGCGACGCUGCCAACCGGGCGCUGUUUGCGGGGCGCUGGGCGGGGCGGCCGGGCCUGACAGACCCCCACCAUCUGGUGCCAGACUCCAACCCGCCGGUCGUAAAUAACCGCCUCCCUUUUCGGGCUUUCUCGCCCGGCUCCUCCGAUUCCCGCUAAAGUGGGAAAAGUGUAAAAUGCUGUUUGCGUCCUUUUUUCUCCGCUGUGUGCGCGGGAAGGAGGAGAGCGGCCUGCAGUGGCGGACGCGGGGCCGGGCCACCCCCCAAAACCUGGCGCCCGGCGGGGCGGCCCGCAGAGCCAGGCGGCAAAGGCCGCGCCCCGGGCCGAGCUCUCCGCCCGGCGCCCGGUCCCAUUAGGGGCUGUUUAUUGCAAAGUAAAACCAACCUAUCGCAGCGGCGAAGGCACUUUGUCUCUGCCGGGUCCCUUUCGGAAAACCGGUGACCCGGCGGCCCGGCGCGUCUCGGGGCGGGGGCAGCACAGCGUGCACGGUCCUCUCCAAGCGUUUUGCUGGGGACAAGUGCCUUUCUCUGAGGUUUACAACUCGCCCCGGCUCUGCUCAGGCGCCCACGGUAGCCGGAACUGGGCUGCAGCCUCCCCAGAUCACACUAAACCCGAGCCGUUGCGAGGCCCCGGGUUGCCCAAAGAUUGACAACGAUCAGGAGCUAAGUCUGCUUUCCGGGGACCUCGUGGGGAGCUCUGUGCCCAGCACUUUUCUCUCGGACUCUCUGCUGGGGGAGAGAAAGAAAAGAAAAAAAAAGAAAAAGAAAAAGAAAAAGAAAAGUUUCUUUCGGGGGAAGCAGUGAAACAGGAAAUGAAGAUUCGCUCUGUAGUUUAGCUGAAAGGAAACGCUGUCUAAUCCUGACAUGUAUCGCAUUUAAAAUAAAAUUCUUUUAUCUUCAUGCGUGCCAAGCCCCCAGACAUUGUUCGGACUCCUACGGGGGGAAAGACGUCAUAAAAUGAGAAUUUGUUUCAUUGUGGGUCGCUCUGCCAACACCGGGCUUUAAAGGAACGCCAAACAAAGCGGGCGCCAGGAGGGGGCUUCCCAGGUGGCUCUCAACUUGAGUGUGCAGCACAAUCACGUGCAGAGCUUGGUCAGCUGAUUGCUGGACACUACGCACAAGGAGCAUGCCUGGAUACACAGCUUAGGGACAAGAAACCUACGCUCACCAAGUGUCCACCAGCUCCUCGGCAAGGAGGGAGUAAAACGAAUUUUUUCUGCCACAACUUCUCUAGGCAUUUGUCUGGUCUUCUGCUGGAAAAUGUGGAUGUGGUUGUGAUCAUACUAGACCCUGGGAAUAAGGACAAACCUGAUGAAUGGUGAAGUGAGCAGAAAGAAAGUGGAUCCCAGAGGACUUUUCAGAGAGGAGCUUCCAGGCCAGCCCUAGGCUAUACAUCUGUGGACUUUGAAGCAAGAGAUAACUACUAUCUGUAUAAGGAACUUAGAUGGAAGCCAAAAGACCCAGCUGAUAUAUGAUGGAAUCCACGCUGCCCCCAGUGUACCACAGGAGAGGCAGAGCUGUCCUUUGCUGCUGGUGACUCAGUCCCUCCAAUGCCCCUCUUCGUCUUCCCCCUGUGUCAGGCUAUUGGAUCACUGCAGCACCCCCUGGAGCCCCGAAGCCAUGGCCUCACCACCACAGU